Molecule: ribosomal RNA, 495 nt
Filed under: uncultured bacterium
Lineage: Bacteria
Description: partial 16S ribosomal RNA
Rfam family: Bacterial small subunit ribosomal RNA
Source: RNAcentral
GACGAACGCUGGCGGCGUGCCUAAUACAUGCAAGUAGAACGCUGAAGGAGGAGCUUGCUCUUCUGGAUGAGUUGCGAACGGGUGAGUAACGCGUAGGUAACCUGCCUGGUAGCGGGGGAUAACUAUUGGAAACGAUAGCUAAUACCGCAUAAGAGUAGAUGUUGCAUGACAUUUGUUUAAAAGGUGCAAUUGCAUCACUACCAGAUGGACCUGCGUUGUAUUAGCUAGUUGGUGGGGUAACGGCUCACCAAGGCGACGAUACAUAGCCGACCUGGGAGGGUGAUCGGCCACACUGGGACUGAGACACGGCCCAGACUCCUACGGGAGGCAGCAGUAGGGAAUCUUCGGCAAUGGACGGAAGUCUGACCGAGCAACGCCGCGUGAGUGAAGAAGGUUUUCGGAUCGUAAAGCUCUGUUGUAAGAGAAGAACGAGUGUGAGAGUGGAAAGUUCACACUGUGACGGUAUCUUACCAGAAAGGGACGGCUAACUACGUG